AAUUUUGGAACAAUUUUCGCUAUUCCGUAAAAACAGUUUGAUGUGAAUGUAUUUGUUUUUAACAUUUUUGUGUGCUUUAUAGACAAGCUUUAAUUGCGACGGAUUUUAGGAUGCUUUUUAACUUUAAUGACAUUAUAUAAUGGUUGUUUGUUACAAUAUAGACUCUCGACUUUGUUUCAUCGUUGUUUUUCAACUUUUUAUAGGAUUAACGUUCAACCAGAAUUGUGAACCAAAGCGCUACGAUCUAACGAAAUACGGAGGACAGAUAUUCAAUGUAACUAGAUCGGGAGCCACGUGCACCGAAAAUAUCUGCGCAAAGGCCACAGCCCAUUUAUAUUGCCUAAAUAAUGGGACCUGUAUAAAUAAUAGAUGUUCCUGUCCUCAAAUUGGAGGGACAGGAGAGUUUUACCUUGGAAUUCAUUGCCAGUAUAAGCAGUCAUAUUGUACAGCUUUACCAGAACAAGACCUUCCUGCCUGUAAGAACGGCGGAAACUGUACGUCAGUCGAUAUAACUGAUGAAAACCAAAGGGGAUAUGUCUGCUCGUGUCCCUCUGGGUUUACUGGUAGCAGAUGUGAAACCGAUAUUAAUGAAUGCUCAAGUAGUCCAUGUUCGUCGAACGGAGAAUGUAAAAACUUAGCUAACAAAUUUAUUUGCAUUUGUCAAGCGGGAUAUACAGGAAGACUAUGCAAUUCCGAAAUAGAUGAAUGUUCAUCAUCACCUUGUUUAAAUGGUACCUGCAAAAAUUUAAUUAACAAGUAUGAAUGCAAUUGUUCUGGAACUGGUUACGAGGGGGAAAAUUGCGAAAAGCUAAUCGAUAAUUGCAAGAGUAACCCCUGUCAAAAUGAGGGACAAUGUAUCAAUGAAAUCAAUAAUUAUAAAUGCAUUUGCAAAAUUGGUUUUAAUGGAAAGAACUGUGAAAUUGAUGUAGACGAAUGCCAAAGCAAUCCCUGCUUCAACAAAGCCAUAUGCCAACAAAAAUCACCCGAAAGUCCACCAGAUGAACGAGCUGGUUUCUCGUGUUCCUGUCUUCCUGGCUUUACAGGGACACUCUGUAAAGAAGAAAUCAACGACUGUAUAAAUCAUAUGUGUUCCGAAAAUGGUCUUUGUGUAGACAAGGUAAACGGUUACGAAUGCGUUUGUAAAAGUGGUUUUACUGGAAGAUAUUGUGAAGAAAAUAUUAAUGAAUGCCUACUCUAUGAACCGUGUCUGAACGGCGGAACUUGUGAGGAUGGCAUAAACGAUUACACUUGCCAUUGUCCAUAUCCAAAUAAGCUAAAUAUGUAUUUUGGUGACAAGAAUUGCUCAACUGAACUUAUUGGAUGCAAAAAUGGGAAUCCCUGCGGAUCUGGCAUAUGUUUACCUUCUUUUAGAGGCGGAAUUGAUGAUUCCUUUGACUGCGACUGUAACAAGGAAACAACUGGUCAAAUUUGCGAACGUUCAGCUGUUGUAUCGUUUGAUGGUGAAUCAGCCUGGAGGACAGAGGGUAGAGGAAAACCAACGGGAAUACCUGCUUCUGGAGUAAAAAUAGAAUUCUGGUUUCGCACUACCAUAACUGGUCGAACAUUAUUUGGUGCACUAUCAUCCGGAUUGUCAGUUAAUCUCCUUUUAAAUGAUUCUUACUCAUUAGUUGGAAAAUUGGGCGAAGUCACAAUUUCUAUUGAUGCCAACAAAAAUAUUGCAAACGGCGUAGAAAAUUUUAUUUCCUUUGAAAUUAGACCGUCCUUUUUAGAACUACAAUUGAUAACUGAUGGAGUAAAUAUAACAACAACGGAACAUUUUCCUAGCAAAAAUGUUGAAAUGAAUGAUAUGACUUUUGGUGGAGCAUGGGAAUGUCCAACGGAAUGCUUCGUUGGUUGUAUGAGUGGUGUUUAUAUUUACCCUAGUGAAAAAGCAGAAAGAGUAAAGAAAUACAUAGAGGCUCCUCAGGGUGCUCAAACUUGUCCACGGAAAGUUCAAUGCAGAAAUGAUACGUGUUUGGGUAGAGGUUUAUGUCAGGAUUUAUGGUUUGACUUUCAAUGCAUUUGUAAUAGACCUUUUGUUGGAAGAAACUGCGAAUUUGAAGUAUCAGCUCUGACUUUUUAUGAUAGUACAUCCAUUCAAUAUCGUAUUGAUAAUUUUAAGGCUUCAAACUUAGAAAUCUCAUUUUAUUUUCGGACAAGAUCAACAAACUUAGAUCUAAUAACUUUGGAGAUAAGUCAAUUUAAUUAUAAUUUUUAUAUGAAUCGUUCAAUUCUUAAUUUCAAUGAGAAAGGCUUAAUUUCAAGAGACUUUGCAGAUGGAAAGAGUCAUUUCAUAACUAUAGCAAUAAGCGACAAUGGAAAGUUAAAUGUUAAAGUGGACAGUUACUUUACAACUGUAGAUAUUUCUCGAAGAGUAUUAAGCAAUAUCUUGAUUAAAAUAAGGCCACAAUCCAAAGUUAGCAUUCAAGAUAUCCGCCUAAACGAAAAGCUACUUCUACUUCAUGAUUCUCCAUUAUUACAAAAAUUUUUCAAUGACUCUUUCAUCCCGGAAACCUCAAGUGGACAAAUUGAAUAUGGCGAAGUAACAGCAGACAAAUGUGACCAAAAUGUUUGCAAUUCAACUAACACAUUAAAUUGUACAAAUAUAUUCUAUGAUGACUACCAUUGUACAUGCAAAAGAGAUUGGACAGGAAAAAUCUGCAACAUCAAUGAUUUUUGUUUUGAAGACCCUUGUAAAGAUAUUCCAGAUACUGCUUGCCAAAACAGGCCAUCUUCUGGAGGAUUUUAUUGUGUAGCUAAUACAACUCUUGAGAAAUCUGUGAUUUUUAAGUAUGAUACUCAAAGACAAUUUGCGCAACUAAAAAAUACUCUACAAAUUGAAUUUCGAAGUCGAACUCCAUCAACUCUUUUUAAAAUGACUAACAGUCAAACAGAAUUUCAGUUAAGGGUAAACUUAGAAGAAAUUAUUCUAAUUUAUCAAUCCGCUCAGUGCGCUUUUAAAAGUUCUCUAUUGGACGGUGAAUGGAGAGAAAUUAAACUUACAUUUAGCGAUAAUGGAAUAACUUAUGAAGGAGAAGUUUGCGAUAGAAUCAAAAAUGAAACAAUACUCAAUAAUCUUGCCAAAGACGAAGCUGAAAUAGUUGUUGGCGAGAAUUAUCAAGGCUGUAUGGGUCAAUUAUAUUUAGGCGAUGAGUUAUUAUCAUGGAUCCAAAAUCAACCUGGAUUAAGUUCCCUGUAUAAAUUAGCUGAUUCAUCAGCAAUAAGUAUGGGUUGCAAUCCUCCAAAUAUGUGUAGUCCAUCCCCAUGCGUUUAUGGAAAAUGUUCAGAUAAUUUUUAUCAGUAUAGCUGCUCAUGUGAGAAUGGUUGGGAGGGACAGAAUUGUUCGAAAGAUAAAAACGAAUGUAAUUCAAAUAUCUGUGAGAACGGAGCAACUUGUUUAAAUCUUCCAGGAAAUUUUCAAUGUACUUGCUCUCCAGGAUAUACUGGAAAGAGGUGUGAAAAUGACAUUGACUAUUGCGAAUUGUAUAAAAAUAAUACGAAUGAGAAGGCCUGCCUCAAUAAUGGAACUUGCACCGAUCUACUUCUAGGUUUCAAUUGUACAUGCCCGAAUGAGAAUGUAACUGGCCAUAGGUGCCAGUAUUCACCGAAAAGUGACUGCAAUACAGUUGAUAUAUGUCGAAAUGGAUCUACUUGUACAUCGACAUUAACUGAUUUCUUUCAAUGGAAGUGUGAAUGUGCUAAUGGUUUCGAAGGCCGUCACUGCGAUCAGGAAAUUGAUUAUUGUCUCAAAUAUAACAAUCCAUGUAAGAACGGAACGUGUGAGAAUGACAAAACUACAUUCAAUUAUACGUGCAACUGCUUUCCUGGAUUUACAUCAGCUCUUUGCGACGAAGAUAUAGACGAAUGUGAAACGAAUCCAUGUAAAAAUGGUGCAAAGUGCAAUAACUUAGUGAACGCCUAUGAAUGUUCAUGUCGUGAAGGAUGGAAAGGCUUCAAUUGUGACGAGGAUAUUAAUGAAUGCGAACAAAACCCUUGUGAAAAUUCAGGAACAUGUACGAAUCUUCCUGGUAACUAUUCUUGCCAAUGCACUCAGUUUUAUCAAGGAGUUAACUGUACUGAGGAUGUUGAUGAAUGCAAGAAUGAAAUCUGCAAAAAUGGAGCGACUUGUGUGAAUUCAAUAGGUUCUUAUAAAUGUAAUUGCGCUGCAGGAUGGACAUCCACAAACUGCGACGAAAAUAUUGACGAAUGCUUAAUAAAUCCCUGUCAAAAUGGAGGGACAUGUAUUGACGGUUUGAACGAGUAUACAUGUAACUGUACUGCAACUGGUUACAUGGGAAAGAAUUGCACUAGAGAUGUAAAUGAAUGUCUUACUAGUGGGUUUUGCAGUAAUGGAGGAACAUGUAGCAACAUAAUAGGAAGUUAUAAUUGUACCUGUACUGCUGAUUAUAUGGGACCUAAAUGCCAAAUACGGAAUCCUUGCGCUGAUGAAAAUUGUAAUGGAAAUGGAAACUGUACACCUGUUGAUGCCAUUCCUAAAUGCAAUUGUUUUGAAGGCUGGGAAGGAAAUAAAUGCCAAACUAAGGUGAGUAGAUUAAAUAUUAUCCUUAUUGCCCAAUAUCUCAAAAAUAUAACAGCAAAACUAUCGUCCAGAUUAGAUAUUAAAUUAAUUAUGUUAAGAUAUUAAUUUCAAUAUCAUAAAGGUUUUUCAGUUAAAAAAAAGUAUCUAUUUUAUAAAAAUUCUUGCACAGCUUCGAGAGGUUUCAACCAAGGCGACCGAUGAAAAUGUUGGCCUAAUCGCAGGCUUGUCGGUCGUUUCUAUUCUACUAUGCCUGAUUGCACUAUGUAUGAUUUUUAUAUAUUUUAUGAGUUUAAAUUGUUUCUUUUUGGAAAGAAACAGUAUGUUUUACUAUUUUACUAGAAGACUAGCUUUACUAUCGUGCUAACAUGUAUUAUUCAGAAUUCCUUGCUUCAUAUGUUCAAACCUUGAAAUUUUUGCUAACAGUUGUUAAUAUUAGUUAAAAUUAACACUUACGUUUACCUACAGAAAUCUGAUGGUCCUAAAAUUUCUAUAAUAUUGGGAUCAGUUUUUGGUGUUUUGUGCCUUAUACUAUUAAUUGGUAAUCAUGCUUUUUUUAUUGUUUUAUAUAUUUAACGACCUAGUAGUAAAUUAAUCUCAUAUUAAAAAGUCUGUAUUAAAUAUAGUAAAUAAAACUGUAUUGAUUUGAGCAUACCAUACAUAUAUUAAAAAUUGUUUUUCUCAUUUUUAACAGUGACUAUUAUAUUGAUCCUGAUUGCACGUAAGAAAAGAGCAGACAGAGGCGUGUAUAGCCCUUCAAAACAGGAAGUUAAUGGUUCAAGAGUUGAUAUGAAUAAUGUACUGAAACCUCCCCCCGAAGAAAGACUGAUCUAAAUCAACGUUCUAACAUGUUCUGUUAUUUUUUUUCUUCUUCUAAUUUCGUCUCUACCACUACCAAUUGUUAAAGUUUUUUUGAUUUUUGUUUUUUAUUAUUUCGCAAUCAAAUGUUAAAGAUAUUAUCGAAAUCGUGCAAAGGUGAUUGCAAGAAAUAGGAAAAUUUGGGGAAACAAAAAAAAACAUAUCAUGCUUUUAUAUUUUAACGUACAUAUCAAAAGAGAAAGAAUUUUUGUAUAUUGUAUUUGUUUAAAUGUUUUAUAGAUUUUGUUAAGAGCAUUUUUAUUGGCAACGACAUAUGGUGCUAUCUUAAAGCGAUAAUUAAUAAUGUAGGCUAAUUUCUUUUUUUAAAAAAAUUGUCUACAUAUCUCAUUCUGUACUCAAAGCUCUAGAUGUAUUUAUAAAUAACCUUACAAAAAUAUGUUUUAAAAAAAAAAUAUAAUAAAAAUGUUAACUAAAUCAAUUUGUUCCUUCGUAACAAAUUCCUCCUUCUUGACAAGCUUGGCAAAGGCUGGAAUUGUGUUGCUGUCUCGGUUUUCCAGCUCGUCUGUCCAAUCUUAAGAUUGAUUGGGUAAAACCAUAAUAUAUUUGACCGACCCGUUGAUGAAUAUUCUGAAGCACCUGUAACGGAUAUAGACAUUUAGUAUUUAUCGUUUGAAUACCUUGUAAUAGGCUUAGGGAGGGGAUUAUUUAAAGCUUGCUAAAAAUGAAUUAUUCAGUGAAUAUUCAACUAUGUCCCUUAGGGCUUAUCAAUAGGUAUGGAAGUCAAAAUAUUUCUUUUAUCAUUCAAUUCAAACUUAUAUUACAAAAAGUUAGAUGCUUAGAUUUAUUUAAUAGAAAGUUUGUUUCGAUAAGAAAAGUCAAAUAUUGAAUAGCAAUAAAAAUCACAUUAAGACAGUAUAUAAAAGCAACUAUGACAUCGUUCAAAUAAAUCCUUAAACACUGAUAAAAUGACCCUGCAAAUAUUUAGGUUCAUCGUCUGAGAAUUAUUCUGAUCCCUAUACUAAUUUAUAUUAUUAUGAUUCAAAAAGGAACAAUAAAUUCUUUUAUCUUUUCUUUAGGUAUUUAAUCCUAUACAACUCAAUAUGCUUUCUGCGGAGAGGCGAUAACAAACUGCAUUAUUAUUAAUUUCACACAAUACGAAUCGAAGACGGAAAUGUUUUCACAUAAAACUACACGUUAAAGAAUCUUUAAUACUAAACGUAUCUACAAUAGGAUACGCUAUAGGUGUUCAACGGUGUGCACCCCCGCCUGACCUUCAAAAAGAACGCCCACCCUUUCUAUCCCAGUCAAUAUCUCAAAGUAAACAAACGACUGAAACGUAUGAGAUUCUCAUCACAAAAUUUAAAAAAGUUAAUAAUUCCACUCUCUUAAAACAACCGUCCAAAUCUCAUUCUCAAAUAAAAACUGUCAUUAAAUCAGCCUAUUCUUUUAUUCACUUUUUAUGUCGUAAUAUCUUCUUUUCUCCUCUCUGUCACCUUUCUACAGUUAAGUAAAAACAAGAAAUAAUCUAGUGAUUAUAGUCUAAUCUCUAACUCAUCCAACAAACAGGGAAUAAAGAAAAUCAUUUAGAAGAGCUAUUUAUCAUUCAUCUAACAGAAAGAAUAAAGAAAUUAUCUAUCCUAUCUAAAUCGACUUGUAUGAUCUACAAUCCUAUUAUUUACUCUUAUAACAGCUAUUUCUUGUUUACUCUUAUACGUAUUUCCGUGAAACUUCUUUUUAAAGAAUUAUUUGUUAUUUUCUCUAUCAUACAAAUCUUUUCCCUUUAAAGAUACUCAAUAUUUAUUUCAUUCUCUUCUUUUACUAUUCAAAACAACAUUUAUUUUCGUCUAAAAUUUAAUGUUGACCUUACAACAAACCUUUUCUAUUAUCCUAGUCGCGUAUUUUAAGUUUUCCCUUGUUAUAAUAAACCGUAGAGAAAGUCCUCGUCUUUUAUUUGAAAAUGGCCUUCUAUAACUGCUAUCUCUUUCACUCUCUCUCUCUCUCUCUCCCUCUUUGAUAUAAAAACACCAACAGUGGAAGAGAAGUAUCAAACUAAAAAGAAUUAUCUAAUCUCUAAAUUUAUCAUGAAACAUUGCGUAACAUUUGCAAUUUGGUGUCGUCUUCUUCGUAAUUGAUAUAAUUAAUGUAACUAAAUCGAAGAAAAGACAAACAUGCUAAUAAUUUAGGGACGUUAAAAAUUUUUAACCCUUCUUUCUAUAUAGCGACGAGCAAACAACACUCUUUUUAAAUAUAUUUAGAAACAUUUAUAUCAACAUUCUAAAGGCAUAAGCCUUUGAUGUUAACCGCACAAGUUGGUUUUAACGAAAGAUUGUUAUUAAGACAGAUCAACCUGUUACUCUUAGUUUACUGUUUGAUUUAGGUAUAAAUUUAACAUGCUGACAGGCACUUGAAGGAGAUUUUAAAAACAUGGGUCUACGAACCUUUUGAACCUCCUCUGGAUA
This 7815-nucleotide unclassified non-coding RNA is filed under the name Dimorphilus gyrociliatus. RNAcentral's name for it is "dgyrCDS11192". The record is from RNAcentral. Lineage: Eukaryota; Metazoa; Annelida; Polychaeta; Dinophilidae.